This 731-nucleotide non-coding RNA is filed under the name Pan troglodytes (chimpanzee). The record is from RNAcentral. Lineage: Eukaryota; Metazoa; Chordata; Mammalia; Primates; Hominidae.
CGGGGAUGGACCUCCAGAUUUCCUUACUGAGACGGAGUCUUGCUAUGUUGCCCAGGCUGGUCUUGAACUCCUCACCUCAAGCGAUCCUCUCGUCUUGGCCUCCCAAGUGUCAGGAUUACAGGCAUGUGCUAUCACACCCAACCUGAUACAUUGCCUUUAUAAAUUUUUUUUUCUUUAUUCUAAAAACCAGAAAAAACAAAACUGGAUACAUGUGCAGAACAUGCAGGUGAGACGUGGUCUUGUAACACAGUGGUUAAGAAUGUGACUUUGGAGCCAGCCUGCUAGGGGCUGAAUUCUGACUCAGCCAUUUACUAACUGUGUGACCUUAGGUCACAGAAUUUUCCACACUCCUUGACGGAGGUGCUUAACCCUUAUCCAUCAGCAUUCUCAGACAGCACCUCCGGUUAGGGACAGUAUCUGACCGUCCGACAUCCCUGCAGCCCCCAUGUGUCACACAGACUCAGCCUCAGGUAGAUGGUUUCCGUAGAUGGUGGCUUUCUUUGGACCCUUGACAUCAACCAGUUACUAUUUGGGGACCAGAUGUGCAGAGGUAAUGAAUACCAGGGAAUCAGGAAACCACUGGAUCAGUUCUUUGAGCCACAGAACAACACUCAUCCCAGCAGCUGGGAAGCUAUCUGCAAAAGUCCAUCUGCAGAAAGGGCUUCCUGGUCUUGCGUGUGGCUGGGCCAUUUCUCUGGAUGCAGGUUUUUCAUUAUACAGUCUUCUCAAAG